Molecule: transfer RNA, 31 nt
Filed under: Radula trapezoides
Lineage: Eukaryota; Viridiplantae; Streptophyta; Jungermanniopsida; Radulales; Radulaceae
Description: Radula sp. CP-2022f partial tRNA-Gly
Source: RNAcentral
GAUUAGUGGUAAAACUAGCCUUCCAAGCUAG